Molecule: long non-coding RNA, 2531 nt
Organism: Triticum aestivum (bread wheat)
Lineage: Eukaryota; Viridiplantae; Streptophyta; Magnoliopsida; Poales; Poaceae
Exons: 4
Source: RefSeq, a predicted model, not a curated record
GUCGGUCAACCCUGUUUCUCCAGUCUCGGGAAUAUUCGAUCCGCCGCCUGGAAGCCAGACGAGCCGCCUGCCUCGCCGUCCUUGCCCGGCCGCCCGGAGCCACCGGUAGACCGCCCUGUGAUCCUGACCGGCCUGAAGGCUGACACCCGCGACUUGCCACUGCCUGCCCCGCUUGGUGCCCGGCCGGCUGCUGUCCAAUCAGGUGCGCAGGGCGCACCACCGUGCCCUGCUGACCGGACUACCGGAGCUACCCACUUCCAGUCCGCUCCGCGGUCGCUUCCUCAGCCGCUGAUCCUCCGGUCCUCCCCAAUCCACAUCCCCUGCUCAGCUCAGAGAGUGUGCAAUGGAUUUAGAGUCCACCAAAUUACUAUUGCGAUUUCCAAGAGAAAGUACACAGUACUCAGCUGGUGUAAUUGAAUUUCUGGAGUUUGCAUAUAAAGAUUUGAGGUAAUAGCACCAGCAGUCCCAGAACUUGCACAGGAUGUGAUGAUCUGGUCCAAAACUUGCAAAAGACAACUAUUGAGUCCCACAACUUGCAGCCAAUGUGCAAAUCUAGUCCUAGCCAAUCGUAGCACGACAAGUGGAGCCUAGUCAGCACAGCCAGUCAGCGCAGCACACUUUGCAUUUACCCCCCUGGCCUAUUCACUAAUGAACCCGCACUACACCACCUGAGUUUAACUGCAUGGUAUAUUCCUGGAAUAUCCUCCUCAGCUCACUCACCUCUCUGCUUCUGUCGACGAGGCCCUGCUCCAGCUCGCCGCCGCCGUCCAGCUAGCCGCCGCCGUCCGUCCAGCUCGCCGCCAUGGUGUCUUGGAGUGAAGGAUCCAGCUCGUCGUCCGACGGCUACUCUGUCACAAGUGAGGCUCCUGCUGCUCUUUUCUGCUCUGAAUGGACAGGCCUGCUUCAGAUCUUGCAGCUAGAUGUGAGCACCAAUGUGUCUGUGAGAAGUUUGUGUCGUUUGAAUCAGUUGACAGUGGAAGGAGGUAUCUUGCUUGUCCACAAAAGGAAAUACCAAAAUGCAACUAUGUGGAGUGGAUUGACCCUGAAUGGCCUGCCACUCUGAAGAUGAGUUUAGCCAGGGUUUGGGGCAUGUAUGAUGAUGAGAACAAGCUAAGGCUCAGGGAAAGUGUAGUUCUUGCUGAAGAAAAUUUUAGGGUUGUGAAAGAGAAAGAAAAGAUGGAAAAUGAUCUGAGGUUUUUUAAACUAGAUUUUGCUAAGAUGGUGGGUGACAAGGAGCAGGCAAUUACUGAAAUUGGGCAAUGCAAGACUUGCUCUUUCUGACCUAAAGGAAGAGCUUGAGAAGAAGAAGAUGUCUGAUAAAUCUACCACUAGCAUUCAUCAGGUUGUGAGGGCUAAGGCAGAGAAAGAGAGGGAUGAGAUGAAGCAACAGAUGGACAGCAUGAAGGAAGAGUUGGACAAAGUGGUGUUAUAGAGGGAUGAGCUGAAUAUGCAGUAAUAGCUUUCCUCAGCUCAACCACAUCAGCAAAGACCAUCCCUACUUUAAAUAUAGGGUUUUUGAUGUCCACCUUGGAACUGAAAGCUUUGAACUUGUACAUCAGUUGCUCUUCUUCUUCUCUUGAAAGAUUCAAAUCUUCAUCAUCAAGUUCAUAGUCAGGUUCCACCUCUUCCUCCUCUUGCUCAGCUUCUUCAUCAACAUCAAAGUCAAUGUUCUCUUCAUAAAGAUCAUCAUCUCCAUCAUCUAUGUCAUAAUCACUGUCAAUGAAAUCUGAAUCUGAAAGCACUACAUCUUCUGCAACAUCAGUUAGCAAAUGAUCUUCUUCAGCAAAAUCAGUCAGCAAGUGAUCUUCUUCAGCAAAAUCAGUCAAGUGAUCUUCUUCAGCAAAAUCAGUCAACAGUUGUUCUUCUACUGCAACAUCAAUCAGCAAGUGCUCUCCUUGUGCAACAUCAGUAAGCAAAAGCUCUUCUUCUGCAACAUUAGCCUGCAAGAUGUCUGCUUCUGUCUCAUGUGCUGCAAAGUCUGAAAUUGGAUCUUCAUCAUUGACUGAGAUGAUGCUGUGAGAACUGGCUGCAACAACAUUUGGGUUUACCACACUGACAGGAUUCUCAACUGAUCUCACUGUACAUAUCAAAUCUUGCCUGAAAUUGCUGAUGAAAUCUGAAUGAUCAACCAUGAUUGCAAGAACCUUAUGCUGAGCACUGGCAGUUAUCAUUUGCUUCACAUCCUCAUCACCUAUGAUUCUCAGCAUACCAUCUGAAACUGUUUUGUCAGGCAUGCACCAAUAAAUGAUGUGCUCAUUGACAGGAUAUCCCGACCAUAGCAGGUGCUCUUCAAUGACUGCAUAUGAGAAUGUACCUGCAUCAACAUAGUCAAGCACCUCCACUGAAGGAUUAUAGUACUCCAUGUUAUUUAUUGGUCCACAGAAUAGUCCACCAUGCUCCAGUUCUAAUGUGAAGAAAGGGGUGUCCACACUAAGUCCCAUUGCUGAAUCACAAACUACAACCACACAGUGCAUAAUGUAAGCACAAGCAUCAAAAAAGAUGACUGAAUAAAUACAUUUAACUGCAUCUUC